Small nucleolar RNA from Lactuca sativa (garden lettuce), 107 nucleotides. The record is from RefSeq and is a predicted model, not a curated record. Lineage: Eukaryota; Viridiplantae; Streptophyta; Magnoliopsida; Asterales; Asteraceae.
GUUGUAUGUUGAGGACAAUUUCUUAAUAACCCUUUAUAACGUUCCCAUGCCUCGUAAAGUACCUCCCCUGGCUAUUGCUCAAAAUUGGCUAUCACCUUCUUGAGUUU